CGGAUGCGAUCAUACCAGCACUAAAGCACCGGAUCCCAUCAGAACUCCGAAGUUAAGCGUGCUUGCGCGAGAGUAGUACUAGGAUGGGUGACCUCCUGGAAAGUCCUCGUGUUGCAUCCCUC
This 122-nucleotide ribosomal RNA is filed under the name Oryza sativa Japonica Group (Japanese rice). The record is from RNAcentral. Lineage: Eukaryota; Viridiplantae; Streptophyta; Magnoliopsida; Poales; Poaceae.